RNAcentral lists this non-coding RNA (157 nucleotides) under uncultured Bartonella sp. Lineage: Bacteria; Pseudomonadati; Pseudomonadota; Alphaproteobacteria; Hyphomicrobiales; Bartonellaceae. The record is from RNAcentral.
GGUGAAAGAGCUAAGAGGGAAUUCGGUAAUUGAUUAAAAAGCCGAAGCUGCCCCCGCAACUGUAAAUGGUGAGUCAAAACCUUAUGCCACUGGGAUUACCCGGGAAGGUGGUUUUGGCGCUUCAAGCCAUGAGCCAGGAGACCUGCCUUGAAUUGAA